RNAcentral lists this ribosomal RNA (486 nucleotides) under uncultured bacterium. RNAcentral describes it as "bacterial SSU rRNA". It matches the Rfam family "Bacterial small subunit ribosomal RNA", at positions 30 to 507 of the family's 1533-position model. The record is from RNAcentral.
AUUGAACGCUGGCGGCAUGCUUUACACAUGCAAGUCGAACGGCAGCACGGGUGCUUGCACCUGGUGGCGAGUGGCGGACGGGUGAGUAAUACAUCGGAACGUGUCCAGAAGAGGGGGAUAACGCAUCGAAAGAUGUGCUAAUACCGCAUAUGCUCUGAGGAGGAAAGUAGGGGAUCGAAAGACCUUACGCUUUUGGAGCGGCCGAUGUCUGAUUAGCUAGUUGGUGGGGUAAGGGCCUACCAAGGCGACGAUCAGUAGUUGGUCUGAGAGGACGACCAGCCACACUGGGACUGAGACACGGCCCAGACUCCUACGGGAGGCAGCAGUGGGGAAUUUUGGACAAUGGGCGCAAGCCUGAUCCAGCAAUGCCGCGUGAGUGAAGAAGGCCUUCGGGUUGUAAAGCUCUUUCAGUCGAGAAGAAAAGGCUGCAGUGAAUAACUGUAGUUUAUGACGGUAUCGACAGAAGAAGCACCGGCUAACUACGUG